This 62-nucleotide microRNA precursor is filed under the name Pristionchus pacificus. Its description in RNAcentral is "mir-8364 microRNA precursor family". It matches the Rfam family "mir-8364 microRNA precursor family". Lineage: Eukaryota; Metazoa; Nematoda; Chromadorea; Rhabditida; Neodiplogasteridae. The record is from Rfam by way of RNAcentral.
UCUUCAUUUUCCCGCACUCUCUCGCCGGUCAGAGAGGCGAGAGAGUGUGUGAAUUGAAGAGA